UACCUCGACAUAGCGCCAUUCACUCCACAAAAGCCCGACAUAUAUAGCGCCUCCAAACCGCGACUCUCUCCAACUCACUCUGACUCACUCCAUAGAUACCCCGGCCGACUCACUCCACAGCCCUAAACCCUAAAGCCACCGCCUCUGAAGGCCCGACUCUCUGGUGCGAAGCUUUCGAAGCCCUAAGUCGGAGAUUUGUCUUCGAAUCUGCCUUUCAGGUGUUGAUUUCGGGUUCUUCACAAAGCACUCUUUUGCUCUGGGGUUUUGACUAACUGGAGAUUCUGAUAAUUGUAAGUCGGAGAUUUUUCUUCGAAUCUGGUGUUGAUUUCGGAUUCUUCACAAAGCACUCUUUUGAUUUGGGGUUUUGACGAACUGGAGAUUCUGAUAAAGGUGCAGCUAAUGAAAGAAUAGAUAAUGUGUUAGUCAAUCUUACUGAUUAGCGAGGGAUGGUUUUACUUUUUAAACCCCUCUCAUUUACAUCUGAUAAAAUCAGAUAUGCUGUUGACAUGCCACAGAUCCUGCUACUACUGCUGAUUCUCAGGAAAACAAGGAAGCAGCUGAUGAACGUUCUGUUUUCGUUGGCAAUAAAAUAAGACAAAGGAUAAGCAAAGAAGUAAACAUCGCUGCUUGGGUGAUAUUGAUUGGAAAUUGAAGUUGAAAGUUGAUAUUGAUUGGACACUAACUCUUAAGACGUUGCUGGAAACUCAAAAGUGGGGUAGGAGAGCCAACCAUACUUAUGGUCAAGCGGAACUUGAUGAAGUGCGUAAUGAGAUUGCAAAUUAUGUGAUGAAGAACCUGCUGAAGCUGUGAAGUGUUGGUCUUUUUUGGGUACAGUAAUGUAAGAUCCCAAGUGCAUUAGGCUAGAUAUUGGUCCUUUUUGGGUUGGCCUGAAUUGCAUGUCUUCUAUAGAUGAGAUUAUGUAGGACGAGACUAUUUUAGCCACAUUUGUGGAUGUAUUUUGCUAUUGGAGAUCCGUAAACGUGAUCAUUUCCGUUUUGUGGAUAAAAUUACCAUUAUCGGAUCCAUUUGUGGGAUUAUAAUAGCUAUUUAUUAUGACAGGA
Rosa rugosa (rugosa rose) is the source of this 1061-nucleotide long non-coding RNA. RefSeq lists it as uncharacterized. Lineage: Eukaryota; Viridiplantae; Streptophyta; Magnoliopsida; Rosales; Rosaceae. The transcript is spliced from 8 exons. The record is from RefSeq and is a predicted model, not a curated record.